This 217-nucleotide ribosomal RNA is filed under the name uncultured bacterium. RNAcentral's name for it is "partial 16S ribosomal RNA". It matches the Rfam family "Bacterial small subunit ribosomal RNA", at positions 328 to 539 of the family's 1533-position model. The record is from RNAcentral.
ACGCUCGACACCUACGGGGGCAGCAGUGAGGAAUAUUGGUCAAUGGACGCAAGUCUGAACCAGCCAUGCCGCGUGCAGGAUGACGGCUCUAUGAGUUGUAAACUGCUUUUGUACGAGGGUAAACGCAGAUACGUGUAUCUGUCUGAAAGUAUCGUACGAAUAAGGAUCGGCUAACUCCGUGACAGCAGCCGCGGUAAUCUGAGCGGGCUGGCAAGGC